UGCCCUUGAAGUGGAAGGGAUCCUCCUGCCUCAGGCUCCCAAGUGCUGGGAUUACCAGGCCUGGUGGAGUUUUCUUACCGAGGUGCCGAGUGUGGCUGGUGGCUAAGAUGCCCCCAGGUGCCCCACCUCCUGGUGUGACUCCCUCCCCUGUGCAGGAGUGGGACCCAGAAACUCGCCUCCCAGGCAGACAGUACUGCAGGGGCAGAGAGGGACACCCUCUUCGGGCCCAGGGUGGUGGCAUCGCUGUCCUGAGCUGGUGGUCCUGAGUUCUGCCACCAACCACAGGAGUUUGAGGACAGAUCAGAUGAGACACCCUGUGCCUUGCUGAGGUUUGUGGGUGCCAGCUGGCCAAGGGACCCUAAGGCAGAGGACUCAGCUGAGCUGUACCUGGAAUGUGGCCCACAGAAAUGGCGGGGGCGGGGGAAUAAAUACAUGACUGAGGCCACUAAGUUUGAGUUGUAGAAAAUAUACUUAGAGCUGGUACCAAUUCGUGGGCUUAUGUUUGAAUAGCCACCCCUGCCCCUUUUGGAGAGGGUGUUUCCCUAUAUGCUGAGGCUGGCCUUGAAGUUGAGAUCCUCCUGCCUCAGCCUCCUGAGUAGCUGCGAUUGUAGGUAUAUGCAAAGAGGCCCAGCUUAAAUGGUUUAUUUUAAAAGGCAAUUCAUUUUAGGCAAAAAUUCUAUGAAAUCAGAUUUCGAUGUUCUAGAUUUUUUUUUUUUCCCUGAAACACAAAAAUGUAGCCAUAGCAAUGUUCAUGCUGAAGCAGGAAGACAAAGGAAAAAGAUACAGGAGGACACCUUGCCCUGGCAAGAAGCAGCUGCUGACAUCACAACACAGGCCCGCUUACUGCUUCAGCUGCUGGGCUGUGAGAAACGGAAGAGGCAACCUUGGCGUUAGGCUGUGACUCACUCAUGGACCACGGAAACCAUGUAUUGGGCCAACUCCUACGAAUCAGCCACUUAUUUCCUUUAAAACAAAAUAGGGUAGAAAUAGCAACUUGAACUGCAGGUGGCUGAGAGCGAAGAUUGCUUCAGGAAAAUUCUCUCAGUCGGGCGUGGGGGCGCACGCCUGUAAUCCUAGACCUUGGGAGAUGGUGGCAGGAGCACGGCCGCUAGUUGGAGGCCAGCGUCGGCUACACAGUGAGUUCAAGUCCAGCCUGAACUGCGUACUGAGAUGAGGUCUCAGACAAAACGAAACGAAACAAAACAAAACAAGGAACAUUACGGAAACCCACAUGAUGCUGAAGGCCCGUCGAGGACUAUUUUAAGACCCAAAUGACACUUUUGUACACUAUCCGCCACCAAACGUGCCUGAUGGAAUUGACUGCAGAGGGGUGAGGACACACGCAGACACAGUACAGUGUAACGGGACUGCCCUCAGCGUCCACAACUGCACCCAAGCUGUCCAGCAGGCUGUUUCCGGGAUGGACGACCGAGGGCCCAGUUUGCGUCACGUAACACUGCCCACGUGCAGUAAAGGCCUAAGCUGGAAACGAGGCCCAGAACCUCCUACUUCCUGGCUGAGGACGGCCUGCAUCAGCUGGGAACUGCAGCGGAAGGGAAGCGAGUAGACCGGCGGCCUCCGAAUUCCUGGCACCAUAUUGAGCCCCUGUGCACUUCUGAACUAGUGAUGGGACUUGGUGACUGAGCAGCCAGCUAGAGUUUAUUUCUAUCCAAACUAACCUGUUCUAGCACUGUUUACGCAGAAAUAAAACUUGACUUUUUUCCCUACACACUCAAUAAAAUAUACUUGUAAGUGCGCUGCGAUCUCCCCACA
Long non-coding RNA from Chinchilla lanigera (long-tailed chinchilla), 1773 nucleotides. RefSeq lists it as uncharacterized. Lineage: Eukaryota; Metazoa; Chordata; Mammalia; Rodentia; Chinchillidae. The transcript is spliced from 2 exons. The record is from RefSeq and is a predicted model, not a curated record.